This is a long non-coding RNA of Equus caballus (horse), 2157 nucleotides long. The record is from Ensembl. Lineage: Eukaryota; Metazoa; Chordata; Mammalia; Perissodactyla; Equidae.
GUUAAAGUACUGAAGUUAGUGAAAUGGUUUAUUUUAUGUAUGUGUGUCUAGGUUCAUAGGCAAUCCUAUAAUAUUAAUUAAUUUCUGUUUUCUGAUAAGCUCUCUAUAGUGGGAGAAAGGAGUAACACAUUGCACAAUCUGGGGUUGGCCAUGGAAGAGUGCCCUUGACCUAGAAGACAUCCUUACCUGCCACCACUGAAUUUUCUCCUCUCCUGUGUUUACUUCCUUUCUCCCCUUCCCAGGCCCAGGGAUGUGGGCACAGUGGCAACCAUAGGCAUUGCUAAGGGGGAAGGAAUGUAUAUGGCUAAGUAUUGUUAGUUCCUUUUAGCCAAAGACUCUUCAGGAACACGUAGCUGAACAAAAUUGAUUUUAUUGACCCAUUGAAGUAGGGAAGUGACAUGCUGUGGGGAGCCACAGGCUAUCUCAAUCAGAGGGUUUUAGCACUUAUGAAUUUGGGCUAUGUCUGGUGCUUUGGGGGAGGGCUCAAGGAAGCAGGGUUUUGCUCUGUCUGGGUCGGACGUUGUCAGGAAGCAGAAUUCUAUGAUCAAGUGUCUUCAUUUUUACCAAGAAGGUAAGAAGCAUGGAGUGAGGCUAAAGCUGGGAUUGGUAAAGAAGCAGCAGUCGCUCAUUAGCCAGGACAGGGAGAUGCCUGGUCUUUCCUGUGGUUUGGACAAUGUUCCUGUUUUGUCUGUGUUGAGAUGUGAUUACUGAGUUGUCUGAUUUUGGCUUCAUCACUGUCACAGAGUGGCCUUGUCUGAUGGUGUUGUGUGAAAUAGUUUGUGUUCCACAGGAGAACACAACAGCCUGGCUGUGGAUGCCAGGCAAGCUUGUAGCAACAGUAAGGCCUGACUAUAGAGCCAGGCCAGUUCCCAGCUGUCAGGGGCUGCGUUUCUCUUUCUCAGGAUCCAGAGGGCUUGAGCAUUCUGUGAUCAACUCUUUCCUUCCCUUUGAUUAACAGGUAUUGAGCACUUGUUGUGUACUGGGCACUGGGGUGGAGGAAUCAGGCCACGGAUACCCUGUGACGUGCUCCAGCCUUCAAGGACUUCAUUGGUGCCGUGACAAUCGCUUCUCAUGACUUCCUUCUCAAAUGCCUGAGUGUGUUCACUUCCUGUCAGAGCCGGCAGCUAGCUGAUGCAGCCCGAUUUAGGAUUGCAUCAGCCUUCACUCUCCACUAACACUAUGAUCAGGGGAUGUUUUGACAUAGGUUCAGUGUCUUGGCUUUUUUAGUAACUGGGUUGUAUUGCAGGACAGCAAAACACUGCAAUAUAGCCUGGCAUUCAAAUGUGCCAAGUUCACCUCUGCAAAUAAACAUCUGUAAAGGCUGAUGAAUGAAGUAAAUCCAGUGUUGAAACCCCAUUCUCUUAUGUCACAUCGCUGGGAACCAUCUCUGCUCAGCAGCAAGGUGAGAGAGGAAGCAGCUUCUCCGGGAACUGAAGGCCUGACUGGCUGCAUCUCUCUCGGCCUUGGACCAGUGACACUAAGACCCCUGUGUGUCUCCCUGAUGACAGUGAGAACUGCAUUUGAGGGGGUUCCCAGGUUCAGGGAUAUCCCAACCUAAGUUUCAAAUAGAAGAGUUGUGUUCAUCCUCAUUUUAUUUCAGAAGCUGUUCUUAGUGGAGGGUUGGACAAUCUCCAGUCACUGAUGAGUGCUGAAGGUUCCAGAGCUCUGUUCUGAGUUUGGCUGCAGUUGGCCCAUGUUCUUCUGUGCCAAUGGUGCCGCCUCCUGUUUCUUUGUGAACCUGUGAGAAUAAUUCACAAGGUGAGAGCCCACAGGGAGCUGGCACCCAGGGCAGCACGUGUAUGGUCAGGAACAGCACUGCCCAGUGGAAAUGUGAGCCACGUAUGUAAUUUUAAAUGUCCUAGUAGCCACACUAAAAAGGUAUAGACAAACAGGUGAGAUUAAUUUUAAUAAAAUAUUUAACCCAAUAUACCUAAAAUAUUACUAUUUUAACAUGGAAUCAAUAUUUUACAUUCUUUUUUUGGCACUGUCUUCAAAAUACAGUGUGUAUUUAACUUCAGUACGUCUCAUUUUGACUAGCCACAUUUCAAGUGCUCGGUAGCCACACUGGUGAGUGACUACAGGAGAACACAGUUCUAGAACUCAAGGGGAGCUCUAUGCUGUCCUUAUUCUUGCUUAUUUAAGCCUCCUUCAAUUUCC